This 373-nucleotide ribosomal RNA is filed under the name uncultured bacterium. RNAcentral's name for it is "bacterial SSU rRNA". It matches the Rfam family "Bacterial small subunit ribosomal RNA", at positions 525 to 896 of the family's 1533-position model. The record is from RNAcentral.
ACAGAGGGGGCAAGCGUUAUUCGGAAUUAUUGGGCGUAAAGGGCGCGUAGGCGGCCUGGCAAGUGGAAGGUGAAAUCCCUCGGCUUAACCGAGGAACUGCCUUCCAGACUGUUAGGCUUGAGACCGGGAGAGGUGAGUGGAAUUCCCAGUGUAGCGGUGAAAUGCGUAGAUAUUGGGAGGAACACCAGUGGCGAAGGCGGCUCACUGGACCGGUACUGACGCUGAGGCGCGAAAGCGUGGGGAGCAAACGGGAUUAGAUACCCCGGUAGUCCACGCCGUAAACGAUGAGUGCUUGGUGUAGCGGGUAUCGACCCCUGCUGUGCCGAAGUCAACACAUUAAGCACUCCGCCUGGGGAGUACGGUCGCAAGGCUG